GCACCCCUAAAACCGAAUAUCAGCAGCUAAAAAAAAUUGUUUCGUGAUUAGGUUCAUCUACUCUAAACUUAUACAAAGUUUCAGAUUUUUUUGAAUUUUACACUUGCCGAACUUCCCUUGUUAGUACACGAAACAACGAUGAUUAUAUUAACGAUAACCAUAAUUUAGGUAGUGCCAAAUUUGAUCAUAUUAUAAAAUUACCUUAUGUUAAAGAACUUAGCGAU
This is a non-coding RNA of Nylanderia fulva, 224 nucleotides long. Lineage: Eukaryota; Metazoa; Arthropoda; Insecta; Hymenoptera; Formicidae. The record is from RefSeq and is a predicted model, not a curated record.